This 526-nucleotide ribosomal RNA is filed under the name uncultured bacterium. RNAcentral describes it as "bacterial SSU rRNA". It matches the Rfam family "Bacterial small subunit ribosomal RNA", at positions 355 to 895 of the family's 1533-position model. The record is from RNAcentral.
UGGGGAAUAUUGCACAAUGGGCGCAAGCCUGAUGCAGCAAUGCCGCGUGAGUGAAGACGGCCUUAGGGUUGUAAAACUCUUUCGCUAGGGAAGAUAAUGACGGUACCUAGUAAAGAAGUCCCGGCUAACUCCGUGCCAGCAGCCGCGGUAAUACGGAGGGGGUUAGCGUUGUCCGGAAUUAUUGGGCGUAAAGAGCUCGUAGGCGGUCCGUUGCGUCUGCCGUGAAAACCCGGAGCUCAACUCCGGGCCUGCGGUGGAUACGGGCGGACUAGAGUCCGGUAGGGGAGACUGGAAUUCCUGGUGUAGCGGUGGAAUGCGCAGAUAUCAGGAGGAACACCGGUGGCGAAGGCGGGUCUCUGGGCCGGAACUGACGCUGAGGAGCGAAAGCGUGGGGAGCGAACAGGAUUAGAUACCCUGGUAGUCCACGCCGUAAACGGUGGGCGCUAGGUGUGGGGAUCGUUUCCACGAUCUCCGUGCCGUAGCUAACGCAUUAAGCGCCCCGCCUGGGGAGUACGGCCGCAAGGCU